GGGUGUGUAGCUCAGUUGGUAGAGCAGCUGACUCUUAAUCAGCGGGUCCACAGUUCAAUCCUGUGCACACCCACCA
Molecule: transfer RNA, 76 nt
Filed under: Oryzicola mucosus
Lineage: Bacteria; Pseudomonadati; Pseudomonadota; Alphaproteobacteria; Hyphomicrobiales; Phyllobacteriaceae
Also listed under: 1 other name
Description: Tianweitania sp. Rool2 tRNA-Lys
Rfam family: tRNA
About the family: Transfer RNA (tRNA) molecules are approximately 80 nucleotides in length. Their secondary structure includes four short double-helical elements and three loops (D, anti-codon, and T loops).
Source: RNAcentral